RNAcentral lists this long non-coding RNA (945 nucleotides) under Homo sapiens (human). RNAcentral describes it as "HSALNT0338172". Lineage: Eukaryota; Metazoa; Chordata; Mammalia; Primates; Hominidae. The record is from RNAcentral.
AGCAAUCUACACACAUACACUCACACACCCCGUCCCUUUCCCUCCUCGCAGAAGCCGAGGAGAUGCCAUGUGAGGGUGCAGCGAGGAGUUGGGCUGUCUAAAAGCAAAGAAAGAGAUUGCAUCAGACACCGCAUCUGCUGACACCUUGUUCUUGGACUUCCAGCUUCCAAAACCGCGAGAAAUAAAUGUCUGUGUCUAAACCCCAACCCUACCACCUCAACUGCCGUGUGUGGUGUUUUGUGAUGGCAGCCCCAGCUGACUGAGACACCUGGUUAGACCGGAAUAAGCAGUACCUGAGUCCCUUAAGAGUGGCCAAAGAAGAAAGAAUCCACUGAGUUGACAUUCCAGUUCAGCUGCAAUCGGUAGCAGUCACCAUUGAACAUCCUUGAAGCAAUUCUUCCAAAAUUACCUUGCAUCAAAGACUGCACAAGAACUGCUCUAAGCGGAAGGACUGAUGUCGGCAACCAGGGUUCCACCAGGGGCUGCAGACAGCCCUUGACCUUCAGGUGGGAAGGUGUCACUGAGUUCAGACCCUCUGGCAAUCCCUAGCUAUCAACAUUUUGAUAAGAAAAUAAGUGGAAAGAAGUAACCAAAUUUACUCACGUAGGCCAGGAAUUUCUAUGACGUGUUCCAAAUUCAGCCUCUCACUGAACACUUCCAGAGCAAGGCAACAUAAACAUCUGCAAGAAGAACAUUGUGUGAGAAAUAUCAAGUGAGAGUGGAAGAGUCUGCGGAGGGCCUCCCUGGGGCUCACCUGUGCUUUUGCCUGAGCUUCACCGUGUCAAGGAUGCAGCACUUUUUCCCUCUGGAGGAAGCAGCUUUCACCUUGGAAGAAUCUUGACCUUGCCAUUCAAAGUCACCAGACAGGGAAUCUGCCAGUGCCUUGAUCUUAGACUUCCCAGCUUCUGUAACUGUGAGCAAUAAAUGUAUGCUGCUUAUAAACUA